RNAcentral lists this ribosomal RNA (458 nucleotides) under Streptococcus sp. oral taxon C65. Its description in RNAcentral is "bacterial SSU rRNA". It matches the Rfam family "Bacterial small subunit ribosomal RNA", at positions 28 to 470 of the family's 1533-position model. Lineage: Bacteria; Bacillati; Bacillota; Bacilli; Lactobacillales; Streptococcaceae. The record is from RNAcentral.
GACGAACGCUGGCGGCGUGCCUAAUACAUGCAAGUAGAACGCUGAAGAGAGGAGCUUGCUCUUCUUGGAUGAGUUGCGAACGGGUGAGUAACGCGUAGGUAACCUGCCUUGUAGCGGGGGAUAACUAUUGGAAACGAUAGCUAAUACCGCAUAACAAUGAAUGACACAUGUCAUUUAUUUGAAAGGGGCAAUUGCUCCACUACAAGAUGGACCUGCGUUGUAUUAGCUAGUAGGUGAGGUAACGGCUCACCUAGGCGACGAUACAUAGCCGACCUGAGAGGGUGAUCGGCCACACUGGGACUGAGACACGGCCCAGACUCCUACGGGAGGCAGCAGUAGGGAAUCUUCGGCAAUGGGGGCAACCCUGACCGAGCAACGCCGCGUGAGUGAAGAAGGUUUUCGGAUCGUAAAGCUCUGUUGUAAGUCAAGAACGAGUGUGAGAGUGGAAAGUUCACACU